CUCUGUGAUCCCCCGCAGCACCGGCUGGACGCGCGUCGUACGUCAGUGAGGAGCUGCUGCAGAAGAAAGAAGCGGCCUGGGGAUGCUGGAGGCAGGAGCAAGCAAGGACAGAGUGGUGUUGACUGUCUUUCUCAUUCGAUUAAGCUGUCUUUUGAAGCCACAGUUGAAAUGUUUGUAUUGCUCUUGUUAGCACAUUUUUCCUCCAUAGGCCUUUGAGAAUAAACGCUGCCUAUUUUUGUUUCA
Molecule: non-coding RNA, 243 nt
Organism: Phasianus colchicus (ring-necked pheasant)
Lineage: Eukaryota; Metazoa; Chordata; Aves; Galliformes; Phasianidae
Source: RefSeq, a predicted model, not a curated record